Glossina fuscipes is the source of this 758-nucleotide long non-coding RNA. RefSeq lists it as uncharacterized. Lineage: Eukaryota; Metazoa; Arthropoda; Insecta; Diptera; Glossinidae. The transcript has 3 exons. The record is from RefSeq and is a predicted model, not a curated record.
UUUCCUUUUCUUAAUCGCAUGCAGUUACUAUUUUCCAUAUAUUAACACGCCGUCUGUCUACCACAUAGCCAUGAAUACGUGAUUUAUAUUAUACUUUAGGACAACUUCUAGCUAAUUUGAUUUACAAAGAAGUGAUGUAAACAAAUAUUGUAAAGUGAUCAUCUAUGAUUGAAAUGGUUAUUUUCUUAAAGUUGCCGACUAAUGAUAUUCGGAUUAUGUGUUAAUAAUAGAUUGAUCCGAAAAUGGCUUUCGACUUAUCCCAAAGGCAUUUAUGUUCCAGGAAACUAAGGGAAAACGCGGUGAACUAACUUGUUUAAAAUAGUCUACUUUUUUAAAGGAAUUUAAAUAUUUCAGUAUAAUUAUCUUUUCUCGUUUAUCACAAAAUCAUAGAAAAUGGGAAUAAGCUAUUCCAGCUAUUAUAAUAUCACAAUGCUACGGACGUAGAAAUAAUUAACUGCGAAUGUAUUUAAAGCCGGUCUGAAGUGGAAGUCUUCCAUAAAGAAUUUCUAAUCAGUAUAAAUAUCUGGAAUUAAUUGGCUUUCUACAAUUAAUUCGAUCUUACGAUCAUUUUCAAUACUCAAAACAAGGAAUAAAUCGGACCAGAGUGUGAUACUAUUGGAAACGAAGCUCAAAGUCUCAGUUUCGUGCGUAAAAAUCAGCGACAGAAUUAUCCUUCACAGGGGAUCUUUAUAGAUCAUAAUGAUCCACCUAACUUGCAAUUCAUUUGAAGGGCAAUUUUUUGGACAAUUGAUCUUUUU